RNAcentral lists this ribosomal RNA (454 nucleotides) under uncultured Bacteroides sp. RNAcentral's name for it is "partial 16S ribosomal RNA". It matches the Rfam family "Bacterial small subunit ribosomal RNA", at positions 341 to 792 of the family's 1533-position model. Lineage: Bacteria; Pseudomonadati; Bacteroidota; Bacteroidia; Bacteroidales; Bacteroidaceae. The record is from RNAcentral.
ACGGAAGGCAGCAGUGAGGAAUAUUGGUCAAUGGGCGAGAGCCUGAACCAGCCAAGUAGCGUGCAGGAAGAAUGUCCUAUGGAUUGUAAACUGCUUUUAUACGGGAAUAAAACGCUCCACGUGUGGAGCCUUGCAUGUACCGUAUGAAUAAGGAUCGGCUAACUCCGUGCCAGCAGCCGCGGUAAUACGGAGGAUCCGAGCGUUAUCCGGAUUUAUUGGGUUUAAAGGGAGCGCAGGUGGGCUGUUAAGUCAGUUGUGAAAGUUCGUGGCUCAACCACGGAAUUGCAGUUGAAACUGUCAGUCUUGAGUGCGGCAGAGGCAGGCGGAAUUCAUGGUGUAGCGGUGAAAUGCUUAGAUAUCAUGAAGAACCCCGAUUGCGAAGGCAGCUUGCUGGGCCGUAACUGACACUCAUGCUCGAAAGUGCGGGUAUCAAACAGGAUUAGAUACCCUGGUA